GACGAACGCUGGCGGCGUGCCUAAUACAUGCAAGUCGAGCGGACUGAUUAAGAGCUUGCUCUUAUGACGUUAGCGGCGGACGGGUGAGUAACACGUGGGCAACCUGCCCUGUAGAUCGGGAUAACACCGAGAAAUCGGUGCUAAUACCGGGUAAUAUCUGAGAUCACAUGAUCUUAGGUUAAAAGAUGGCUCCGGCUAUCACUACGGGAUGGGCCCGCGGCGCAUUAGCUAGUUGGUAAGGUAAUGGCUUACCAAGGCGACGAUGCGUAGCCGACCUGAGAGGGUGAUCGGCCACACUGGGACUGAGACACGGCCCAGACUCCUACGGGAGGCAGCAGUAGGGAAUCUUCCGCAAUGGACGAAAGUCUGACGGAGCAACGCCGCGUGAGUGAUGAAGGGUUUCGGCUCGUAAAGCUCUGUUGUUAGGGAAGAAACAGUACCGAACGAACUAGGUCGGUACCUUGACGGUACCUAACCAGAAAGCCACGGCUAACUACGUG
This 500-nucleotide ribosomal RNA is filed under the name uncultured bacterium. RNAcentral describes it as "partial 16S ribosomal RNA". It matches the Rfam family "Bacterial small subunit ribosomal RNA", at positions 28 to 507 of the family's 1533-position model. The record is from RNAcentral.